RNAcentral lists this ribosomal RNA (718 nucleotides) under uncultured beta proteobacterium. Its description in RNAcentral is "bacterial SSU rRNA". It matches the Rfam family "Bacterial small subunit ribosomal RNA", at positions 35 to 757 of the family's 1533-position model. The record is from RNAcentral. Lineage: Bacteria; Pseudomonadati; Pseudomonadota; Betaproteobacteria.
GCUGGCGGCAUGCCUUACACAUGCAAGUCGAACGGUAGAGUAGCAAUACUUGAGAGUGGCGAACGGGUGAGUAAUAUAUCGGAACGUGCCCAACUGUGGGGGAUAACGUAGAGAAAUUUACGCUAAUACCGCAUACGAUCUAAGGAUGAAAGCGGGGGAUCGCAAGACCUCGCGCAGUUGGAGCGGCUGAUAUCAGAUUAGCUUGUUGGUGAGGUAAAAGCUCACCAAGGCGACGAUCUGUAGCUGGUUUGAGAGAACGACCAGCCACACUGGGACUGAGACACGGCCCAGACUCCUAUGGGAGGCAGCAGUGGGGAAUUUUGGACAAUGGGCGAAAGCCUGAUCCAGCAAUGCCGCGUGCAGGAAGAAGGCCUUCGGGUUGUAAACUGCUUUUGUACGGAACGAAACGGUCCGCUUUAAUACAGUGGGCUAAUGACGGUACCGUAAGAAUAAGCACCGGCUAACUACGUGCCAGCAGCCGCGGUAAUACGUAGGGUGCGAGCGUUAAUCGGAAUUACUGGGCGUAAAGCGUGCGCAGGCGGUUAUAUAAGACAGUUGUGAAAUCCCCGGGCUCAACCUGGGAAUUGCAUCUGUGACUGUAUAGCCAGAGUACGGUAGAGGGGGAUGGAUUCCGCGUGUAGCAGUGAAUGCGUAGAUAUGCGGAGGACACCGAUGGCGAAGGCAAUCCCCUGGACCUGUACUGACGCUCAUGCACGAA